GGGCCUGUAGCUCAGUUGGUAGAGCGCCACGUUUACACCGUGGAUGUCGUCGGUUCGAGCCCGGCCGGGCCCACCA
RNAcentral lists this transfer RNA (76 nucleotides) under Microbacteriaceae bacterium. Its description in RNAcentral is "tRNA-Val". It matches the Rfam family "tRNA". Rfam says of the family: Transfer RNA (tRNA) molecules are approximately 80 nucleotides in length. The record is from RNAcentral. Lineage: Bacteria; Bacillati; Actinomycetota; Actinomycetes; Micrococcales; Microbacteriaceae. RNAcentral also lists the same sequence under 4 other names.